GCAUAUCAAUAAGCGGAGGAAAAGAAACCAACAGGGAUUGCCCCAGUAACGGCGAGUGAAGCGGCAAGAGCUCAAAUUUGAAAGCUGGCUCCUUCGGGGUCCGCAUUGUAAUUUGCAGAGGAUGCUUCGGGAGCGGUCCCCAUCUAAGUUCCCUGGAACGGGACGUCAUAGAGGGUGAGAAUCCCGUAUGGGAUGGGGUGUCCGCGCCCGUGUGAAGCUCCUUCGACGAGUCGAGUUGUUUGGGAAUGCAGCUCUAAAUGGGUGGUAAAUUUCAUCUAAAGCUAAAUAUUGGCCGGAGACCGAUAGCGCACAAGUAGAGUGAUCGAAAGAUGAAAAGCACUUUGAAAAGAGAGUUAAAAAGCACGUGAAAUUGUUGAAAGGGAAGCGCUUGCGACCAGACUCGCUCGCGGGGUUCAGCCGGCAUUCGUGCCGGUGUACUUCCCCGCGAGCGGGCCAGCGUCGGUUUGGGCGGUCGGUCAAAGGCCCUCGGAAGGUAACGCCCCCAGGGGCGUCUUAUAGCCGAGGGUGCAAUGCGACCUGCCUAGACCGAGGAACGCGCUUCGGCUCGGACGCUGGCAUAAUGGUCGUAAGCGACCCGUCUUGAAACACGGACC
Molecule: ribosomal RNA, 614 nt
Filed under: Penicillium turbatum
Lineage: Eukaryota; Fungi; Ascomycota; Eurotiomycetes; Eurotiales; Aspergillaceae
Description: eukaryotic LSU rRNA
Rfam family: Eukaryotic large subunit ribosomal RNA
Source: RNAcentral